UACGAAGGGGGCUAGCGUUGUUCGGAAUUACUGGGCGUAAAGCGCACGUAGGCGGAUCGAUCAGUCAGGGGUGAAAUCCCAGGGCUCAACCCUGGAACUGCCUUUGAUACGUGUGGGCUUGAGUGAGGAAGAGGGUUGUGGAAUUCCCAGUGUAGAGGUGAAAUUCGUAGAUAUUGGGAAGAACACCGGUGGCGAAGGCGGCAACCUGGUCCUUUACUGACGCUGAGGCGCGAAAGCGUGGGGAGCAAACAGG
RNAcentral lists this ribosomal RNA (253 nucleotides) under uncultured bacterium. Its description in RNAcentral is "partial 16S ribosomal RNA". It matches the Rfam family "Bacterial small subunit ribosomal RNA", at positions 524 to 776 of the family's 1533-position model. The record is from RNAcentral.